This 433-nucleotide ribosomal RNA is filed under the name uncultured bacterium. RNAcentral describes it as "partial 16S ribosomal RNA". It matches the Rfam family "Bacterial small subunit ribosomal RNA", at positions 29 to 507 of the family's 1533-position model. The record is from RNAcentral.
AACGAACGCUGGCGGCAUGCCUAACACAUGCAAGUCGAACGAGACCUUCGGGUCUAGUGGCGCACGGGUGCGUAACGCGUGGGAAUCUACCCUCAGGUUCGGAAUAACUCAGAGAAAUUUGAGCUAAUACCGGAUGAUGACCUAAGUCCAAAGAUUUAUCGCCUGAGGAUGAGCCCGCGUAGGAUUAGGUAGUUGGUGAGGUAAAGGCUCACCAAGCCGACGAUCCUUAGCUGGUCUGAGAGGAUGAUCAGCCACACUGGGACUGAGACACGGCCCAGACUCCUACGGGAGGCAGCAGUGGGGAAUAUUGGACAAUGGGCGAAAGCAUGAUCCAGCAAUGCCGCGUGAGUGAUGAAGGCCUUAGGGUUGUAAAGCUCUUUUACCCGGGAUGAUAAUGACAGUACCGGGAGAAUAAGCUCCGGCUAACUCCGUG